This is a long non-coding RNA of Xenia sp. Carnegie-2017, 499 nucleotides long. RefSeq lists it as uncharacterized. The record is from RefSeq and is a predicted model, not a curated record. NCBI's taxonomy places the organism in Eukaryota, Metazoa, Cnidaria, Anthozoa, Malacalcyonacea, Xeniidae. The transcript has 3 exons.
UCCACCUCGUGGUCGUUAAAGUCUGUUAUUGUGGUUUAAUGUCGUCUUCACUGAAAUGUGUUCUGACAAUUUUUGUUCCGGUUUUCUUAUAAAAAGGGCUUGUUCGAGGAAGCAAAGAGAGUUGUUAGAUGUCUUCCGAUUCCACUGAUGAUGAAUCUGAACGUUCGUCAGCUCCGAACUUUCCUGAAUAUGAGAUAUGUAUGAGCGAGAAAUUAGACGGUAUUUUGCCAUCGCAUGUCGUCAACAUUGAAACAAAUAUGGCUAUACGCUGUUUGUGUUAUUUUUCAUCCUUGAAAAGUUUCUUGUACAGUUACAGGAGCGAUGCACUAGGACUUAUAAGUGAAGAUUUUAAAUCUGAUGUGAAGAAAUUCAUGGAUAUAAAAUUUGAAAAGAACUCGAAAAAUUGUUUGUUGGCUUUUAACCCAGAUACAAAAUGGGCCGUAUCUUGGGACGGUUCUUUAAUCGCUGCAAGUGCAACACUCAAUCAUCGUCACAGAUA